This 420-nucleotide ribosomal RNA is filed under the name uncultured bacterium. Its description in RNAcentral is "bacterial SSU rRNA". It matches the Rfam family "Bacterial small subunit ribosomal RNA", at positions 356 to 791 of the family's 1533-position model. The record is from RNAcentral.
GGGGAAUUUUCCGCAAUGGGCGAAAGCGUGACGGAGCAAUACCGAGUGUGUGAUGAAGGUCUUAGGAUUGUAAAGCACUGUCAACAGGGACGAAGAUCUGACGGUACCUGUAGAGGAAGCACCGGCUAAAUACGUGCCAGCAGCUGCGGUAAUACGUAUGGUGCAAGCGUUAUUCGGAUUUAUUGGGCGUAAAGGGUCCGUAGGCGGUUUAUUAAGUCUGAUGUGAAAUCCUAUGGCUCAACCAUAGAACUGCAUUGGAAACUGAUGAACUUGAGUAUCGGAGAGGUAAGCGGAAUUCCUGGUGUAGCGGUGGAAUGCGUAGAUAUCAGGAGGAACACCGAGAGCGAAGGCAGCUUACUGGACGAAAACUGACGCUGAGGGACGAAGGCAUGGGGAGCGAAAGGGAUUAGAUACCCCUGU